GCGGGUGUGGCGGAAUUGGUAGACGCACUAGACUUAGGAUCUAGGGCCGUAUGGCAUGGGGGUUCAAGUCCCUCCACCCGCACCA
Molecule: transfer RNA, 85 nt
Filed under: Brockia lithotrophica
Lineage: Bacteria; Bacillati; Bacillota; Bacilli; Thermicanales; Thermicanaceae
Description: tRNA-Leu
Rfam family: tRNA
About the family: Transfer RNA (tRNA) molecules are approximately 80 nucleotides in length. Their secondary structure includes four short double-helical elements and three loops (D, anti-codon, and T loops). Further hydrogen bonds mediate the characteristic L-shaped molecular structure. tRNAs have two regions of fundamental functional importance: the anti-codon, which is responsible for specific mRNA codon recognition, and the 3' end, to which the tRNAs corresponding amino acid is attached (by aminoacyl-tRNA synthetases). tRNAs cope with the degeneracy of the genetic code in two manners: having more than one tRNA (with a specific anti-codon) for a particular amino acid; and 'wobble' base-pairing, i.e. permitting non-standard base-pairing at the 3rd anti-codon position.
Source: RNAcentral